RNAcentral lists this small RNA (467 nucleotides) under Pongo abelii (Sumatran orangutan). RNAcentral's name for it is "retained intron". Lineage: Eukaryota; Metazoa; Chordata; Mammalia; Primates; Hominidae. The record is from RNAcentral.
GGCAUCCGCUGGACUCCAAUCCAGUACUUCAACAACAAGGUCGUCUGUGACCUCAUCGAAAACAAGCUGAGCCCCCCAGGCAUCAUGAGCGUCUUGGACGACGUGUGUGCCACCAUGCACGCCACGGGCGGGGGAGCAGACCAGACACUGCUGCAGAAGCUGCAGGCGGCCGUGGGGACCCACGAGCAUUUCAACAGCUGGAGCGCCGGCUUUGUCAUCCACCACUACGCUGGCAAGGUGCGCCCCCUGCCCCUACCCUACCCUGUGCCUCCUCGCAGACCCCCAGGGCCCCAAGCUGUAGCCCCCACCCUCCAGCACCCAGGCUGGAAAGAGCCUGCUAGGACCCUCAUCCAGGGCUGUAGAAUUCCACUGUCCCCCUGCCUCAAUCCACCCCCUACUAACCAGAACUACAGACCCUUCCGGCUGACCCCCCAGGAACUCGCUAAGCCCCAAAUUUGCCUGGACAC